This 253-nucleotide ribosomal RNA is filed under the name uncultured bacterium. Its description in RNAcentral is "partial 16S ribosomal RNA". It matches the Rfam family "Bacterial small subunit ribosomal RNA", at positions 524 to 776 of the family's 1533-position model. The record is from RNAcentral.
GACGAAGGAUGCAAGCGUUAUCCGGAUUCAUUGGGCUUAAAGGGAGCGUAGGUGGUCUUAUAAGUCAGUGGUGAAAUCUCUGGGCUUAACCCAGAAAUUGCCAUUGAUACUGUAGGACUUGAGUAUAGUUGCCGUUGGCGGAAUAUGACAUGUAGUGGUGAAAUACAUAGAGAUGUCAUAGAACACCGAUUGCGAAGGCAGCUAACGAAACUAUAACUGACACUGAGGCUCGAAAGUGUGGGGAUCAAACAGG